RNAcentral lists this ribosomal RNA (253 nucleotides) under uncultured bacterium. RNAcentral describes it as "partial 16S ribosomal RNA". It matches the Rfam family "Bacterial small subunit ribosomal RNA", at positions 524 to 776 of the family's 1533-position model. The record is from RNAcentral.
UACGAAGGGUGCUAGCGUUGUUCGGAAUUACUGGGCGUAAAGCGCGCGUAGGCGGCGGCACAAGUCAGGGGUGAAAUCCCAGAGCUUAACUCUGGAACUGCCUUUGAAACUAGGUCGCUUGAGUGUCGGAGGGGAUAGCGGAAUUGCUAAUGUAGAGGUGAAAUUCGUAGAUAUUAGCAGGAACACCGGUGGCGAAGGCGGCUAUCUGGACGACAACUGACGCUGAGGCGCGAAAGCGUGGGGAUCAAACAGG